This 295-nucleotide unclassified non-coding RNA is filed under the name fungal sp. RNAcentral's name for it is "partial internal transcribed spacer region". The stretch from base 1 to 46 matches the Rfam family "Eukaryotic small subunit ribosomal RNA", at positions 1786 to 1831 of the family's 1831-position model. Lineage: Eukaryota; Fungi. The record is from RNAcentral.
AAGUCGUAACAAGGUUUCCGUAGGUGAACCUGCGGAAGGAUCAUUAAAAGAUUUUGGAUUAAUAAUUUUUUGGGGUUUUUAUAAACUCUAAAAAAAUAAUUCACCUUUUGUGCAUUGUUAAUAAGAUAUACUUUGGUUUGAGCUUUGAUUUCUUUAUCGAAAUCAACUUCUUGCUAACUCUAUCCUUUAAAGGACAGUUGGCUAUCAAGGUUUUUUAUCAAACUCUAUGUAUUUUGUCUGACCUAAAUAAAUAAUAAUUAAAUCAUAACUUUCAACAACGGAUCUCUUGGCUCUC